UACGGAGGGUGCGAGCGUUAAUCGGAAUUACUGGGCGUAAAGGGUGCGUAGGUUGUUUUGUAAGUUAUCUGUGAAAUCCCCGGGCUCAACCUGGGCAGGUCAGAUAAGACUGCGGAACUCGAGUAUGGGAGAGGGUAGUGGAAUUUCCGGUGUAGCGGUGAAAUGCGUAGAGAUCGGAAGGAACACCAGUGGCGAAGGCGGCUACCUGGCCUAAUACUGACACUGAGGCACGAAAGCGUGGGGAGCAAAC
This 250-nucleotide ribosomal RNA is filed under the name uncultured bacterium. RNAcentral's name for it is "partial 16S ribosomal RNA". It matches the Rfam family "Bacterial small subunit ribosomal RNA", at positions 524 to 773 of the family's 1533-position model. The record is from RNAcentral.